GACGAACGCUGGCGGCGUGCCUAACACAUGCAAGUCGAGCGGAGGUAUCGAGUAGUUUACUAUGAGGUACUUUAGCGGCGGACGGGUGAGUAACACGUGGGCAACCUGCCUCGGAGUGGGGGAUAACACCGGGAAAUCGGUGCUAAUACCGCAUGACAUACACAUAUCACAUGGUAAGUGUAUCAAAGGAGAAAUCCGCUUUGAGAUGGGCCCGCGGCUGAUUAGCUAGUUGGUAAGGUAACGGCUUACCAAGGCGACGAUCAGUAGCCGACCUGAGAGGGUGACCGGCCACACUGGAACUGAGACACGGUCCAGACUCCUACGGGAGGCAG
This 332-nucleotide ribosomal RNA is filed under the name uncultured Bacillota bacterium. RNAcentral describes it as "bacterial SSU rRNA". It matches the Rfam family "Bacterial small subunit ribosomal RNA", at positions 28 to 351 of the family's 1533-position model. The record is from RNAcentral. Lineage: Bacteria; Bacillati; Bacillota.